Long non-coding RNA from Lolium perenne, 317 nucleotides. RefSeq lists it as uncharacterized. NCBI's taxonomy places the organism in Eukaryota, Viridiplantae, Streptophyta, Magnoliopsida, Poales, Poaceae. The record is from RefSeq and is a predicted model, not a curated record.
CAUAUAUGUGACUAAAUCCACCAAGCAGGCUAUUCUGCAAGACCACACAAACUGGAGCAAAGGUUCAAUCAGUUAGGUUUUCAGGACAAAACAUCAAGGCUCAACGGGCCAAAACAUCAAGGGAUACUUCACUAUCUAGACGUCAUCAAGGGAUACUUCUCUAUCAGGACAUGAGAAAUGGUGACAGGAUGUGAGAAAUGGUGAUUCUUUGUUCUUCCUCGACACGCGUCGCCAUCGGCAGCUGUUGGACCCUGCUCUUGAAACAUGUGUCCGCUGCAACCAUCAUCAUGGGAAAUUGGGAAUUGAUCGGACUAAAA